Molecule: ribosomal RNA, 473 nt
Filed under: uncultured bacterium
Lineage: Bacteria
Description: bacterial SSU rRNA
Rfam family: Bacterial small subunit ribosomal RNA
Source: RNAcentral
GAUGAACGCUGACAGAAUGCUUAACACAUGCAAGUCAACUUGAACUUCGGUUUGGGUGGCGGACGGGUGAGUAACGCGUAAAGAACUUGCCUCACAGAUAGGGACAACAUUUGGAAACGAAUGCUAAUACCUGAUAUUAUGAUUUUAGGGCAUCCUAGGAUUAUGAAAGCUAUAUGCGCUGUGAGAGAGCUUUGCGUCCCAUUAGCUAGUUGGAGAGGUAACGGCUCACCAAGGCGAUGAUGGGUAGCCGGCCUGAGAGGGUGAUCGGCCACAAGGGGACUGAGACACGGCCCUUACUCCUACGGGAGGCAGCAGUGGGGAAUAUUGGACAAUGGACCAAGAGUCUGAUCCAGCAAUUCUGUGUGCACGAUGAAGUUUUUCGGAAUGUAAAGUGCUUUCAGUUGGGAAGAAAAAAAUGACGGUACCAACAGAAGAAGUGACGGCUAAAUACGUGCCAGCCGCCGCCGUAACAC